RNAcentral lists this ribosomal RNA (290 nucleotides) under uncultured bacterium. Its description in RNAcentral is "partial 16S ribosomal RNA". It matches the Rfam family "Bacterial small subunit ribosomal RNA", at positions 773 to 1060 of the family's 1533-position model. The record is from RNAcentral.
GUGGAUUAGAUACCCUAGUAGUCCUAGCCGUAAACGAUGGACACUAGGUGUUGGUGGUAUCAACCCCGCCAGUGCCGAAGCUAACGCAUUAAGUGUCCCGCCUGGGGAGUACGGCCGCAAGGCUAAAACUCAAAGGAAUUGACGGGGGCCCGCACAAGCAGCGGAGCGUGGGGUUUAAUUCGACGCAACGCGAAGAACCUUACCAGGGCUUGACAUGACCAGGAUCCCGGCGGAAACGUCGGUUCCCCGCAAGGGGCCUGGCCACAGGUGUUGCAUGGUCGUCGACAGCU